CUGCUCUGUGAUAAAACAGGAGUGGUAGGAUAAGUGAAACUGAGAAAAGGGCUCAGGUUGGAGGCUGACCUUCACCAGACAGAGCUCCCAGCAAACUGGGGCUCUGUGCCCAGCAAAGCCUUAGGCAUCAGCACAGAGCAUCAAUUCCCAAUGGGCUCUAUCUCCACCACUGGUAUGCUAUGUGGCUGCACUGGGAGAGGAGGCGCUAAGGUUGCAGCUAGGGGCAGUGGAUGUCUUUGCUGGGGAUCCUUGGUUUUUCAUCUUCCCACUUCCUAUGUCACUGGAGGGAGAUUUCCCUCCUUGCAGAUGCCCACUGGGACGUUCCUGCAAGAGCAGCCCCUGAGUGACACUGUUUGGAAUGCGAUCUACACAUACAAGCUCCAACUGCCAUGACCUGCAUUUUCCUGAUUCAUCUUUAAGUUUCACCUACUUGAAUGGGCUCCCACAUUUGUUCACUUCUAAAGCUUACUGAAGAAGUGGGAUUAGGAGACAAUACAUAAUCACAACUGGAUUAGAGAAAAAAAGUGAAAAUAUAUUUUAGUCUUGGAAUAUAAAUAGUGGCAGGGAAUCAAACAUUCUGAUCAAAGGGCAAAUCUUCAGUUCUGGAACACAUUUUGAGAGGGCAACAGUGAGCAUCUUCCUGCUUGUCUGCAAGAGAACUGUGACCAUGGGGACAUGGAAUCAGUGCGAGAAAAGCCCCAUGUGCUUGGUCUUGUGCUGCUGCUUGCCCAGGGGCUGUGUGGAUGUCAGGG
Molecule: long non-coding RNA, 752 nt
Organism: Gallus gallus (chicken)
Lineage: Eukaryota; Metazoa; Chordata; Aves; Galliformes; Phasianidae
Source: Ensembl